RNAcentral lists this ribosomal RNA (468 nucleotides) under uncultured bacterium. Its description in RNAcentral is "partial 16S ribosomal RNA". It matches the Rfam family "Bacterial small subunit ribosomal RNA", at positions 28 to 507 of the family's 1533-position model. The record is from RNAcentral.
GACGAACGCUGGCGGCGUGCUUAACACAUGCAAGUCGAACGGAAAGGCCCUGCUUUUGUGGGGUGCUCGAGUGGCGAACGGGUGAGUAACACGUGAGUAACCUGCCCUUGACUUUGGGAUAACUUCAGGAAACUGGGGCUAAUACCGGAUAGGAGCUCCUGCUGCAUGGUGGGGGUUGGAAAGUUUCGGCGGUUGGGGAUGGACUCGCGGCUUAUCAGCUUGUUGGUGGGGUAGUGGCUUACCAAGGCUUUGACGGGUAGCCGGCCUGAGAGGGUGACCGGCCACAUUGGGACUGAGAUACGGCCCAGACUCCUACGGGAGGUAGCAGUGGUGAAUAUUGCACAAUGGGCGGAAGCCUGAUGCAGCAACGCCGCGUGCGGGAUGACGGCCUUCGGGUUGUAAACCGCUUUCGCCUGUGACGAAGCGUGAGUGACGGUAAUGGGUAAAGAAGCACCGGCUAACUACGUG